UGAUAAAAAUAUUAAACGGCCGCAGUACUUUGACUGUGCUAAGGUAGCGUAAUCAGUUGGCUUUUAAAUGGAGUCGAGAAUGAAUGGGUUUUCGGGAAUUAACUGUCUCUAUUAAAUUAAUUUUAACUUACUUAAGGGGUGAAAAUUCCCCUUUGUAGAAAAAAGACGAGAAGACCCUAAGAGUUUUAACUACACUUUACAUAUGUAUGAGAAGUUUUUGCUGGGGCGGCAAGGAGACAGAAAUAUAUAACUCUCCUAUCAAGUUUUUAGAAGACGUAUAUAUAAAGAAACAAGAAACUACCUUAGGGAUAACAGCAUAAUUUAUUAUAAGUUUGUGACCUCGAUGUUGGACUAGGGACUUUACGGCUAGCAGUCGCAAGAGCAGGUUCUGUUCGAACUUCAUUACCCU
RNAcentral lists this ribosomal RNA (409 nucleotides) under Platevindex applanatus. RNAcentral describes it as "partial large subunit ribosomal RNA". It matches the Rfam family "Bacterial large subunit ribosomal RNA", at positions 1909 to 2597 of the family's 2925-position model. Lineage: Eukaryota; Metazoa; Mollusca; Gastropoda; Systellommatophora; Onchidiidae. The record is from RNAcentral.